CCUCCGCGGCGGCGGCGUCCCCCGGAGGCGUCUACACAAGUCGCGCGCAUGCCUGGGAGGGGCGGGCCACUGUGCUUCAGAGGCAGCGGCUACGUCGCUGUAGCUGGGCCCAAGAUGGACCUUCCAGUUUUGCUCGCUGCUCCGACGGCGCGCGGAAGCCAACAUGGCGGUGGUGCUCCAGGCCGGCUUCGCCGAGGCCCAGGGCCACCCCUCGGCGCGAGCGCUGGGCGCCGUCGUCUGCUGCUACUGAGGGACUCGGAAGAUGGCGGGCCGGGGCCGGGGCCGGGGCCGCGGCGUGGGGAGGACCCCGGACUGAGCCCUCCGUCUUCCGAGGACGGCGGUGACUCCUUCUUGGUCUUGCUGGAAGUGGCGCGUGGCGGUACCGCGGAGGCCGCCGGACGGCAGGAUGCUGAGCCGGACCCCGGCGCGAGCCCCACGGGCCGCCCAGAGCAGGCCUCCAGUGCCCCGGCCUCCGACCCCGGCGCCGCCCUCGCGGGCACCGUCACCAUCGACGACCAAGACCUGCUGGUGCGUUUCGACCAUGGAGUCUUCACGUUGGCCGCUGCACCUCCGCCCGCUCCGGGGCCGCCCGCCUGCCGGCCGCCCGCGAAACCCGGCCCCGAGGCUCCGAGCCCCGCCGAGGGGCCCCGCGGACCCUCAGGCUCUAGCUCCAGCGCGCCGGCCUACCGCUGCCCCGAGCCGCAGUGCGCACUGGCCUUCGCCAAGAAGCACCAGCUUAAGGUGCACCUGCUGACGCACGGUGGCCUCCAGGCCCGUCGGCCCUUCAAGUGCCCACUGGAGGGCUGCGGCUGGGCCUUCACCACCUCCUACAAGCUCAAGCGGCACCUGCAGUCGCAUGACAAGCUGCGGCCCUUCAGCUGCCCGGUGGGCGGAUGCGGCAAGAAGUUCACUACGGUCUACAACCUGAAAGCGCACAUGAAGGGCCAUGAGCAAGAGAGUUUGUUCAAGUGCGAGGUGUGCGCUGAGCGCUUCCCCACGCAGGCCAAACUCAGUUCUCACCAGCGCAGCCACUUCGAGCCCGAGCGCCCCUACAAGUGUGAUUAUCCUGGCUGUGAGAAGACAUUCAUCACAGUGAGUGCCCUGUUUUCUCAUAACCGAGCCCACUUCAGAGAACAAGAGCUCUUUUCUUGUUCCUUUCCUGGAUGCAGCAAACAGUAUGAUAAAGCCUGUCGAUUGAAAAUUCACCUAAGAAGUCAUACAGGUGAAAGACCAUUUGUUUGUGAUUCAGACAGCUGUGGUUGGACCUUUACCAGUAUGUCCAAACUUCUAAGGCAUAAAAGGAAACAUGAUGAUGACCGGAGGUUCACCUGCCCUGUGGAAGGCUGUGGCAAAUCAUUCACGAGAGCAGAGCAUCUGAAAGGCCACAGCAUAACCCAUCUAGGCACAAAACCAUUCGAGUGUCCUGUGGAAGGGUGCUGUGCUAGGUUCUCCGCUCGCAGUAGUCUGUACAUUCACUCUAAGAAGCAUCUUCAGGACGUGGGUGCUCCAAAAACUCGCUGCCCAGUGUCCAGCUGCAAUAGACUCUUCACUUCCAAGCACAGCAUGAAGGCUCAUGUGUUGCGGCAGCACAGCCAACGCCAAGAUCUCGUACCUCAGCUGGAAGCUCCAAGUUCUCUUACACCAAGCAGUGAACUGAGUAACCCAGGUCAAAGUGAGCUCUCUAACAUAGAUAUAGCAGCACUCUUCUCUGAUACGUCUGCCAACAGUAGUAGUUCAGCAAGUGGACCGGAUGAGGCACUGAAUUCUGGAAUCCUAACCAUUGAUGUUACUUCUGUGAACUCCUCUCUGGGAAAGAACCUCCCUGCUAAUAAUAACUCCUUAGGGCCCAUGGACCCUCUGGUCUUGGUAGCCCACAGUGAUAUUCCUCCGAGUCUGGAUAGCCCUCUGGUUCUUGGGACAGCAGCCACAGUUCUUCAACCAGGCAGCUUCAGUGUGGAUGAUGUGCAGGCUGUGAGUCCAGGAACAGUAGGCUGUUUGGUGGCACUGCCUGUGAAGAACUUGAGUCAAGAUUCACCUGCUUUGACUUCUGGCAGUAACCUGGCAGCACAUACAACUACAUCAAGCUCUUCAGGCACUUCCCAAGAAACUACCAGUGCCCCAGAACUUGUGACUUCAAUUAAGGUGGAGCGAGACUCACCUCCUCUCCCAGAUGUGGUUGAGCAGCAGGAAGGAAGCCUAGGGCCAAGCCCAUCUGUGUUCUCCAGCCCCACAGAGCAGCAUGGUCCUCAGAAGGACACAGAACUCAGUGCAGGCACUGGGAACCUCUUUUUGGUAUGAAACACUAUUCAGUCACCACCAUAUAACUCACUUCUCUUGCAUUCAGUUUUGAGGAUAUUCUGGAUUAAUCCUUUCUAUGCAGUUUCUUACUGAUUUGCAAAAGGAUGGAACCUUGGACUAUAAGUCUGAAUCUGAAUCCAGCCUUGAGUCUUAGAACCAACAGUUCUUGCAACCUUGAGCAAAUGUCUUAACCUAUUUGAGCCUUAAAUUCUCCAUUAUUUCUAAAAUAAGGGAAUUGGCCAGAUGAUUUCUAAGGUCCUUUUGACUUCUCUGACAGUGGUAAUGUGCUUAUUUUUUUGGUAAAACUUGGGGCACUUCAUAAUACUGAAAUAUUUUGUCUUUGUGCUUUCUAUAUAGCUACAAGUCCUAGAAGAGGAGGAAUUGCAGCAUAAACUACCUUUAAAAGUUUUAAUCGAAACUAAAACCAUUUCAAAAUGUUUUUUAAAAUUAUAGUUAAGGGGGAAAAGGAGUGGCUUAUGAGCCUUCAUUCUUGAAAGGUAACAACAAUACUCCAAUUUUGAGACUGGAUAGUUUUACUUUAAUUUACACCAAUUACGCAUUUAUUAUAAUUUAAUUUAAAAUAAUUUAAAUAUUUUUGAAGAGAGUUUGACUUUCCUCAGUGUACAAUGGAAAUGAUCAUCUGUGAAAGUGGUUUUUUUCUUUAAAACACAAGAAAUUUGAUAGAGGUAUUUAUAUUAUUCAAAUGUUAAAUCUUGUUUUACCACAAUUUAAAUACAUUGAAUCUUCUGAAUUGGGAUCAAGUGUGAAGACACUUGGAAAUGAUCUACCAUGGAACCAGUUUUCAGGUUUUUUCAGUGUGAGAGGAUAGUCCUUCUCCAUUUCUGGUGUCUUGCUUGUUGGCAGAGCCAUGUUUGCUAGCAUCUGUUUAGGCUGCCUCAGCAGUGGCUAAGCAACUGGUGAUUGGGCAGGGACAGAUGGGAGGUGGAUGUAGGUCAGAGCCACAUGGAAAGUCAGUCUUAGUGCCCAUGGCAAACAGAAGUGUUCUUAAGCCUCACUGCAUCUCCAGAGCCAUACCUAUGGGUGGAGGUGGAGGAGCCCGUAAGACCUCAGUCCUAACCCCUUGUUCAUUUUCUUGCUAGCUGUGUGACGUUGGGCUCCCUCGCUUCUCUGAGUACAAAUGGUGUGUGGUGAAUGGGUUACAGGUAUGCCUUGAGCUGUAGAGAGUUAUUCUUCUCUCUGUAGUGAUAAGCGUUAAACUUUUUCAUAUGAAACAUUCAUAAAUGUAUGACAGUUUACUGUUUGAAUACUGUUCAUUUGACUCCCUUAGUAAAUUUGUUGAAUUCAGUAAUGUUCUUACUGUUUUGCUCUAUAAGACUUUGGAGUGUAGCACCUGCUGCCAGAAUGGCCUCUGCAGUGAGUGGAGAAGGCAGCACCACUCAAGACCUGCAGGGUGCAGACAGUAUGGGAAACCUUUUGGUGUUGCUGUAGUAAUGUAAUUUUGGGGAUUCAUUGGAAGUUGUGAAAGCAGAGAGACAGGCAGUUCAUUUUGUAACAGUUUCUGUAUAAAGUGUUUUAAUGUUUUAGAUUUUGGAGGAAUAAACUCUUCCAAAUAACAUUUUCAUGUUCCAGAUCUGAUUAUGUUCAGUUAGCACUAUGACUGGUUGUAGCAUUUGGUUCUCUGGGUGCCUUUGCUGGAUUACUGAACUUUAAAAGUUCCGAAGUAAGCUUAGAACAUUUCUGUAGUUCCCUUGCUACCCUUCCUUUACUCUUUAGAUCAAGUGACUGACACACUUUUCUUUGGUCCCAGGAAAGUGGGGGCUCAGCAAGAACUGAUUACCGAGCCAUUCAACUAGCCAAGGAAAAAAAGCAGAAAGGAACUGGGAACGAUGCAGUAACCGUAUUAGAGUUUUCUGCAGUUGUGCCAUUGAGACCCAGAGGUUAAUUUCCCAGCAUCACAGAGGCAGGCUGGGCAUAGAUUCUGCUCUUCCCUUCAUGUUGGGCAUGCCCCAAAGGAUCGCGAAUGCCCAAGAAGCUGAGGCCUCACAAACACAUCUUGUUGACAGAUUUGACAAGCAGCAGCGUCAGAUCAGAAACACUGAAGGUGAUGAGAAAGAUGAAUGCCUCCAUGGAAAAGCGAGAGAGGAUAUGAGCAAGUACUCUCAGAAGACAGCCAACAGACAGGGGGAGCAAACAUCUGCCUCCCAGGUAGAUAGAAACCCAGGGCUGGCAGAGGUGCAUGGGGAAUGUCUACGGACAUAGCCUGCCAUUUCUGGGAAGUUAUUUGGUGAUGUUUCCAAGAACAACAACAAAAACAGUAAUGUUUAAUUUUGUAAAUAUGUAUUUAGAAAUUAGCUUAUAGAAAUGCUCAAAUUUCUGUAAAAGGUACUAAGAGCCAGCUGCUGUUCUGUGCAGAACUGUUUAUAGUUUGUAAUCAAAUAUUUGUAACUUAAAUGUUCUUUAAUAAAGCUGCACACUUUGUA
Molecule: RNA transcript, 4739 nt
Organism: Cavia porcellus (domestic guinea pig)
Lineage: Eukaryota; Metazoa; Chordata; Mammalia; Rodentia; Caviidae
Gene: Zxdc
Gene name: ZXD family zinc finger C
Exons: 7
Source: RefSeq, a predicted model, not a curated record